GACGGUUUGGUUGAGUGGCCCAAGGCGCCUGAUUUAGGCUCUGGUCCGAAAGAGCGUGGGUUUCAAAUCCCACAGCUGUCA
Molecule: transfer RNA, 81 nt
Filed under: Amborella trichopoda
Lineage: Eukaryota; Viridiplantae; Streptophyta; Magnoliopsida; Amborellales; Amborellaceae
Rfam family: tRNA
About the family: Transfer RNA (tRNA) molecules are approximately 80 nucleotides in length. Their secondary structure includes four short double-helical elements and three loops (D, anti-codon, and T loops).
Source: Rfam by way of RNAcentral